RNAcentral lists this transfer RNA (80 nucleotides) under Capra hircus (goat). It matches the Rfam family "tRNA". Rfam says of the family: Transfer RNA (tRNA) molecules are approximately 80 nucleotides in length. Their secondary structure includes four short double-helical elements and three loops (D, anti-codon, and T loops). Further hydrogen bonds mediate the characteristic L-shaped molecular structure. tRNAs have two regions of fundamental functional importance: the anti-codon, which is responsible for specific mRNA codon recognition, and the 3' end, to which the tRNAs corresponding amino acid is attached (by aminoacyl-tRNA synthetases). tRNAs cope with the degeneracy of the genetic code in two manners: having more than one tRNA (with a specific anti-codon) for a particular amino acid; and 'wobble' base-pairing, i.e. permitting non-standard base-pairing at the 3rd anti-codon position. The record is from Rfam by way of RNAcentral. RNAcentral also lists the same sequence under 1 other name. Lineage: Eukaryota; Metazoa; Chordata; Mammalia; Artiodactyla; Bovidae.
UCCCAGGUGGCUCAGUGGUAAAGAAUCUGCCUGCAAUGCAGGAGACUCAGGAGACCCAGGUUCAAUCCCUGGAUGGGGAA